RNAcentral lists this ribosomal RNA (415 nucleotides) under uncultured bacterium. Its description in RNAcentral is "bacterial SSU rRNA". It matches the Rfam family "Bacterial small subunit ribosomal RNA", at positions 355 to 775 of the family's 1533-position model. The record is from RNAcentral.
UGAGGAAUUUUGCGCAAUGGGGGAAACCCUGUCGCAGCGACGCCGCGUGGAGGAUGAAGGCCUUCGGGUCGUAAACUCCUGUCAGAGGUGAAGAAUGCCCGCAAGGGUUUGACGGUAACCUCAGAGGAAGCCCCGGCUAACUACGUGCCAGCAGCCGCGGUAAUACGUAGGGGGCAAACGUUACUCGGAAUUACUGGGCGUAAAGGGUGCGUAGGCGGCUGGGAAAGUCAAGGAUGAAAUCCCGUGGCUCAACUGCGGAACGGUCCUUGAAACUACUCGGCUUGAGGAUAACCGAAGAGAACGGAAUUCCCGGUGGAGCGGUGAAAUGCGUAGAUAUCGGGAGGAACACCUGAGGCGAAAGCGGUUCUCUAGACUACUCCUGACGCUGAGGCACGAAAGCUAGGGGAGCAAACGG